This 624-nucleotide ribosomal RNA is filed under the name uncultured bacterium. RNAcentral's name for it is "bacterial SSU rRNA". It matches the Rfam family "Bacterial small subunit ribosomal RNA", at positions 117 to 757 of the family's 1533-position model. The record is from RNAcentral.
GUGGGUAACCUGCCUCACACAGGGGGAUAACAGUUGGAAACGGCUGCUAAUACCGCAUAAGCGCACAGUACCGCAUGGUACAGUGUGAAAAACUCCGGUGGUGUGAGAUGGACCCGCGUCUGAUUAGCUAGUUGGCAGGGCAACGGCCUACCAAGGCGACGAUCAGUAGCCGACCUGAGAGGGUGACCGGCCACAUUGGGACUGAGACACGGCCCAAACUCCUACGGGAGGCAGCAGUGGGGAAUAUUGCACAAUGGGGGAAACCCUGAUGCAGCGACGCCGCGUGAGCGAAGAAGUAUUUCGGUAUGUAAAGCUCUAUCAGCAGGGAAGAAGAAAUGACGGUACCUGACUAAGAAGCACCGGCUAAAUACGUGCCAGCAGCCGCGGUAAUACGUAUGGUGCAAGCGUUAUCCGGAUUUACUGGGUGUAAAGGGAGCGCAGGCGGAAGGCUAAGUCUGAUGUGAAAGCCCGGGGCUCAACCCCGGUACUGCAUUGGAAACUGGUCAUCUAGAGUGUCGGAGGGGUAAGUGGAAUUCCUAGUGUAGCGGUGAAAUGCGUAGAUAUUAGGAGGAACACCAGUGGCGAAGGCGGCUUACUGGACGAUAACUGACGCUGAGGCUCGAA